This 126-nucleotide unclassified non-coding RNA is filed under the name uncultured fungus. Its description in RNAcentral is "sequence contains ITS1". The record is from RNAcentral. Lineage: Eukaryota; Fungi.
CUGAGAAUGGCGCUCGCGCCCCUCAAACCAAUGCGUACCUAUCCUGUCUCUUGCGGGUUGGAACUCGUUUCCGCCCGCGAGCACCAAAACAGUCGUUUGAUGUUGUCAGAUUCUAGUUAAAAAAAA